Long non-coding RNA from Vespula pensylvanica (western yellowjacket), 763 nucleotides. RefSeq lists it as uncharacterized. The transcript has 2 exons. NCBI's taxonomy places the organism in Eukaryota, Metazoa, Arthropoda, Insecta, Hymenoptera, Vespidae. The record is from RefSeq and is a predicted model, not a curated record.
UCGUCACGCAGGGUCUUUUCAGCUUUAAUGAUGAAUAUUCGAGCAGUCUAGGACGAAGAGUUUCGAUAAAUUCUAAACAACUCACCAAAUUUAUGUAUAGUACUGCCAUCUUGAUGUUUUUUCAUAAGUUUUAAUUUACUCGUAACUGAUAAUUAGUUCGCAUACCGAUAAUGUUGUUAUCUGUCUUUAAGGUAACAUCUAUAAUGUAGUGUGUAUUUCUUCAAAAUUGUCGCUAGAUGGCAAAUUGUGACUGAUUCCUUUAUACACGCACGUAUACUUGCGUGGUAUUCUUCCAUGCAAGUUACGAUUUUAAAGAGAACUCGGACGCAAAUAAAUGAUCGAGAAAAAUUGUAUGAUAGUACAACCCAUUAGAUAGUUACAUUUAAAUAAGCUAGAAUAUAAUCUUUAAAAGAAACUUACAGUGUAUACAAAUUUACUAUGACUCGAUAGUAAGAAAAAUCGGUAUUUAAUCGGUAAGUAAAUCGGUAUUUUCUAUAGCUUAACAAGCAAUCAUAGUAUCAAUAACAAAAUGUCGAUAAUUACGUGGACCAUUACUAUAAUUUAUUAUCAUUGUUUCACAUAUGGUGUUACCUGUAUUUCUUUGAUCAAAUGGCCAGUAUGCUAUUUUUUCGGCAUCGUUCGGAAACCGUUCCUUUUACAUUCCUACAUCUACGCAAGUUUUCCAAGACUUUUGUUGGUGUUUGGAUCGUGAAUUACAGAAAACACACGUGGAAGACAUAGCUAAGUCUGGGAAAAAAGAAAA